RNAcentral lists this ribosomal RNA (483 nucleotides) under uncultured bacterium. RNAcentral's name for it is "bacterial SSU rRNA". It matches the Rfam family "Bacterial small subunit ribosomal RNA", at positions 29 to 524 of the family's 1533-position model. The record is from RNAcentral.
AACGAACGCUGGCGGCGCGUCUUAAACAUGCAAGUCGAACGAUCUGUAGCAAUACAGGGAGUGGCGGACGGGUGAGGAACACGUAGGAAUCUACCUUGAAGAGCGGGACGACUUUGGGAAACCGGGGCUAAUACCGCAUAGUACAGAGAUGUUAAAGGGCUAGCAAUAGUCGCUUCGAGAUGAGCCUGCGGUCUAUCAGCUUGUUGGUGAGGUAAUGGCUCACCAAGGCUACGACGGAUAGCCGGUCUGAGAGGAUGAUCGGCCACACUGGCACUGAGACACGGGCCAGACUCCUACGGGAGGCAGCAGUUAAGAAUCUUGCGCAAUGGGGGAAACCCUGACGCAGCGACGCCACGUGAAGGAUGAAGGCUUUCGGGUUGUAAACUUCGGUAGACUGGGAAGAAGAAAUACGUUCGUUGAGGGCGUAUAGUGACGGUACCAGUCUGAAGCCCCGGCUAAUUACGUGCCAGCAGCCGCGGUAAU